UGCUAUGGCGGCUGUGCGUGUGGGCACCUUCGGGUGCGCCGGUUUUCCUAGUUCUCCGGUCUGUCAACCCGCGCACAGCUGCCUCCACU
Molecule: non-coding RNA, 89 nt
Filed under: Pseudomonas japonica
Lineage: Bacteria; Pseudomonadati; Pseudomonadota; Gammaproteobacteria; Pseudomonadales; Pseudomonadaceae
Source: RNAcentral